GACGAACGCUGGCGGCGUGCCUAAUACAUGCAAGUAGAACGCUGAAGAGAGGAGCUUGCUCUUCUUGGAUGAGUUGCGAACGGGUGAGUAACGCGUAGGUAACCUGUCUUGUAGCGGGGGAUAACUAUUGGAAACGAUAGCUAAUACCGCAUAACAAUAGGUGACACAUGUCAUUUAUUUGAAAGGGGCAAUUGCUCCACUACAAGAUGGACCUGCGUUGUAUUAGCUAGUAGGUGAGGUAACGGCUCACCUAGGCGACGAUACAUAGCCGACCUGAGAGGGUGAUCGGCCACACUGGGACUGAGACACGGCCCAGACUCCUACGGGAGGCAGCAGUAGGGAAUCUUCGGCAAUGGGGGCAACCCUGACCGAGCAACGCCGCGUGAGUGAAGAAGGUUUUCGGAUCGUAAAGCUCUGUUGUAAGUCAAGAACGAGUGUGAGAGUGGAAAGUUCACACUGUGACGGUAGCUUACCAGAAAGGGACGGCUAACUACGUGCCAGCAGCCGCGGUAAUACGUAGGUCCCGAGCGUUGUCCGGAUUUAUUGGGCGUAAAGCGAGCGCAGGCGGUUUGAUAAGUCUGAAGUUAAAGGCUGUGGCUCAACCAUAGUUCGCUUUGGAAACUGUCAAACUUGAGUGCAGAAGGGGAGAGUGGAAUUCCAUGUGUAGCGGUGAAAUGCGUAGAUAUAUGGAGGAACACCGGUGGCGAAAGCGGCUCUCUGGUCUGUAACUGACGCUGAGGCUCGAAAGCGUGGGGAGCGAACAGG
This 765-nucleotide ribosomal RNA is filed under the name uncultured Streptococcus sp. RNAcentral's name for it is "bacterial SSU rRNA". It matches the Rfam family "Bacterial small subunit ribosomal RNA", at positions 28 to 776 of the family's 1533-position model. Lineage: Bacteria; Bacillati; Bacillota; Bacilli; Lactobacillales; Streptococcaceae. The record is from RNAcentral.